UUAUCAUAUUUCAUUCAUUUUCAGUUUGUCUGUUUCCACUUUGUCUUUUAGAUAGUAAUCACUUAGGGGAAUUUACCUUUGUGAAAUUGAUCCAUUUAUAUGUAUUAAGCAUCUGCUUUGUGCAAGACUUUGUGUUACAUGCUAUGGAGAAUAUAAAGGUGACUAGAAAAUGGUUCUCACUCUCUUGGAUUAUACAAACUAGUCAAGGAUUUAAGACACUCAAAAAUAACCACUUUUCCUAUCACUACUUUUUCUCUACUCUGUGUGGCUUUACUGGGGUUGUUAUCUUGGAACACUUUCCUCUUUCCUUCCUUUAUCUGUUCUCAGAAUAUUUGUUGGAGUUCCUUGAUUUUAAGCAAAAGAGAUGAACUCUGGCUGAGUUGAGCAAAAAUUGGACUUUGGGUGGGACAUAAGGCAAUCUGCAGAGUUAAUAGGAGGUGUCUUGGGAAGCUUCCCUGAAAGCACAGACUUAGACAGAGAUUAAGGUACCCUUGAUUCAUUGAAGAUUUUCUCUUCAGGAAAACUUUUAAGGAAAGAGGAAAGCAGUGUAGGUAAAAGCAAGGAGCUAAUCAAAGUUAUGGUCUCGGGUUAAGUCUACUCUUAGUUUGCAAGUUUGUGUUUUAAGGGAAGGAUGCUGAACUUUUGCACCUCCCUAUCUGUCAAUUAUUGGCUUCCUUGGGGUGAAGGAUACUGAAGCUUCCAAGACAUAUCUGGGUAGAAGAUGUCAGCCAAGGGUUAUGCUCUGGAAAAAGUUGCAGAUAUAAGCUGCUAGAAGCUGUACACAGAGAAGACGGGUCAUGAAUGCAUUGGAUAGUAAAGGGGAUAUAGAUAGGAUACCACAAUAUUUACUAAAGAAGGGCAAGGAGGUAAGACUCAGAAAAGGUCAAAACCCAGAGUGCUCUGGAGGACAUAGUGGGUCUCACUACUAAGAGUGAAUGAUUACAGUAUUGGGAUGAUGAGCACCAAUGCGUUCCUCGUUAUUGGAACACUCUGCUUACAUCUGGAGUCCAAAAAGAAGGGUUCUGAUUAGAAUAGAGAAGUUUCCUUUUUCUGUGGGUCACUAACCUAAGAACAUACAGAAUUAGAAAUGAAAGAAAUCAAUCUGUAGUUGGAAAGAGUGAAGCCAUACCUAGGAGUUUAUAGAGCUGAGAGAUGGAGUUUUGAGAUCUAAUAUCUUCAGGUGUGCUUCCAUCUAUGAUGAAGGCAGCAUCACUCCUAACUUCUCAGUAAACCAAUAAAUUUCCUUUUGGUUUAAGCUUUUUGGGGGAAGAUUUGCAAUCAAAUGAGCUGUGGCGGGCAGAAUUUUGGUCCCCUGAUGUUAUUCCUGUGAAUAUGUUAUACACGUGGUACAAUGGGUUUUGCAGAUAUAAUUAAGUUUACUAAUCAGCCUACCUUAAAAUAAGGAGAUUAUCCUGGAUUACCUGGUCAUGUCUAACCUAAUCACAUAAACUCUGAAAAGCAGAGAUCUUUCUCUGGCUAGCAGCAUAACUGGAAGUCAAAGAUUUGAGGUGCUGUUGUUGGCUUGAAAAUGAAGGGCCCACAUGUGAAGGAAAUGAGGAUCUCAUUCCUACAACAGCAGUCAACUGAAUUCUACUUCAAAGUGGGAUCUUCCACAGAGCUCCCAGAUAAGAUCAUGGAUCAUCUAACACCAUGAUAUCUGCUUUGUGAUCCCAGAGCAGAAAUACCUUGAGAUUUGAAACAUGUUGUGCUUGAAUUUCUGACCCACAGAACUGUGAGAUAGUAAGUGGAUAUUUUUUUUAAGCCACUAAGGUGGUGGUUACUUAGAAAAUUAAUGCAUGAGACAAAUUAGUGGUACUUUUUCAUUUGAUGACAUUUAUGGAGCCCCUGCCUUGUGUCCAAAUGUCUAGAGUCAUAUGGACACAAACCUUACAUAAAUACUAAAGAUAAAUAAUUAUACAAGACUACUUUCAGGGACUUUAUGGCCUCUCUACAAAAAAUGUUUCCUCCAAAGGAAAUGACCAUGGCUCAUCAUAUCUUUGUCUCAUGAAAACUUCCUGGCACUCAAUUGAUAUUAACUCCUAUUUGUUCUCCUAAACUGAAUGGCUGUAAAAUACAGUUUGCUCAACAAUACACAGUGCUAGGGAGUAAAGAGUUAAGGACAGAAGCGUGGGCUAGAGGUUAUGCUUUAGAGAAUACUUUCCAAUGUCUGGUUUGGCUUUCAAUUUAUAUUAUAAGUGAAGAUGAAAAAAAAAUCAUUUAAAUGCUAAGUCCCUCCCAUCCACCCUUGAAAUCUGGAAUUCAUGUUUUGAUUCUGGAAAUAAGAUUAAUUAUGAAUCUUUAUGGCUCAUGAUUCAAAUGCCCCCACUAGUAGCAUAUGGUCCAGGUGUAAGGCUGGGAGCAGAUUCAAAAGUCAGUAAGCUCAGCAGUUAUUAUAUAUCUGCUUGUCAAGAAUUUAAUGUAAUUAAAUUUAAUGUAAUAAUAUUUAGUGCUUUUCCCCUAGUGACUGGUAUGAAUGUAACUACCCCCCACCCCCACCCCUGUAACUACUCCAGAUUCUUCAGGGUGUCCUGCCUUUGCAUUUUGAUAAUCCAGGGUGAGGUCCCCCUAUAUGCCAGAGAGGUAUGUGAAGCCUGACUCCUCAUUCCUUUGACCUCUACUGGUCCCAGUUAUCAGUUUCUCUCCUGGGGAAAUUUGCGAACAACUGGUCCUAUAUAUUUUGAACUAACUCUAAACUGCCUCCUGACUGGCUUACUUUCCUUUCUUUCACUGCUUAUCUUUAGGUUGGGAAGGCGAAUGUACCUUAAAUAACCUAAGCUUCACUUCCCUUAGGAUUCCCAUACUUGGGAGGAAAUAUCCAAAUACUCUUCCUCCAUAAGAUGACUAAUGACCAUUUCACAUUUCAGAGCUGGGAGAAUUUAGGGUUUCAGUAACUUUGAUCCAUAUAAUAUAUCUGCUGAAAACCAAAUAAACAAAUAAAAGAACUAUACUAUCAUGAUUGAUUCUGUUUUUACAGAUGUGCCAUUCUUGAAGUACUGCUGUCCUUGGAACCAUUGCUUCACAUCUGAAAAACGGCAAUAGGAUUAAGUAACAGUUUGAGUCUCUCUUUGACAUCUUCCCUUGAGAAGAGUUAAAUGUUACCAUUAUCUUGACAGUCCAAAAGCUAGUCAUGUGGUUGAUAUUUUACCAAUGAGGUAAAUGUGGAAAAACGUCACUUUUCCUUUAAUUAGUUCUGUCAGGACAUACUUGGCAAGAGAUAAUAGUAAGGAGAUAUUGGCCUUUAGGCAUCGUCAUAUUUCCUUGUGUGACUUAGGAGUUUGAUGACUUUCAUGUAUCCUUACAGUGACCCUGUCUGGUUUAGAAAUUCUGAGAUUACACUGUCAAAUCUCUUUCCUAUUCCUGAAGACAGAAGUAGUAACACUAACCAAACAUUGAAGUUUUGAUCAGAUGCAGCCACAUAGAAAUGAAAAACACUUAAUCUUAUAUUAACCAGUGGAUAUUUGGGAUUAUGUGAAAAAGUGGUCUUUCAUUUUCUUUUUCUGGAAAAGUUCUUGCUGGAUUAUUUGAUCUGUAUUUUGUUUUUUGUUUUUUCAACUCUACUGUAUUUGCAUGAUCAAAGGUAUUGUUUUCAAACCUAAAUAAGAGGAGCUAUUUCUCUUUUCCUGCAUUAUGAUUAGAGAACCUUGGAACACAUGUAUGACCAUGGCUUUUUACUUUUCUGGUUCAAAUUAUUAGCAUUCAUGGCUUACCCUUGGCAUUCUAUUAAUAGAAAAACCAAUGAAGAAUUAGUUCCUUACUGAUUUUAAAACAUCCAUUUUUUUUUUCAUGCAUGAUGAUUCCAUGAGGGAAAGAAGGUAACAGACAUGCUGGUUAGGCUAGAAGAAUAGACUAUAAAACAGAAUAGCUGAUGUUUAUGAACAUUAGCUAUCUAUGCCUAAUAAUUAUAUGAACAAUAUCACCUUCUGUUUCUGACAAUAUGGUCAGCCAAGUACUCAGACAAACUCUCCCAUUGAAAACUACUAAAACUUCUAUGUAAUGGCUUAAAACAUCAUUGAGCAAGCAACAAAGAAAGGAAUUAUCAGUGUAAAAUCUAGAUAGGUAAAGACAGAGGUCCAGAGACCUAAGCUACCUCUAAAUUUCAUUUUUAUUCUGAGGACAUUUAUUGAACCUAGCAACCUUCAGCUUCAAUUUCCUCAUUGGGGUAAGAGACAGGAAGCAAAACUCAGGUGUGGAGUCUAAUGGAGCCUUCUCCUGAAAGCUGGGACAGACAAGAACACUUUAUCCUCAGCCAUAAAGAUGAACUGUGAAUGCUGCCCUUCCCAUUGGAGAGGCAGAAACAUGAAACAUAUGAAAAAGAUUAAGAGACACAAAGGAGAGAGUGAGAUAUCACACAUAACUAUAAUUUUAGUUUCAUAAAGAAAUAAUAAAGAGAGUGGGAAACACUAUCCAAAGAGAUGAUGGCUAAGAAUUUUCCAGAAUUAUUGAAAGACAUAAAUCCUCAGAUGCAUAAACCCCAAAGAAUGCGAAGAGAUAUUAAAAAAGAAAUCCUAACCCAAACACAUUAGCUUGAAGCUAGAGAACAUGAAAGACCAAAAAAAAAAUUUUUUUAAAGUAGUCAGAAGGAAUAAACUGGCCACCUACAAAGAAAUGCUUGACAGCUGGUUUCUUACAGCAAUAAUAGAAGCCAGAAGCCAGUGUGGUGAUAUCUUCAGUAUGCUGAACAAAAACAAUUGCCAAUUAGGAAUUCCUAACCCAGUAAAACUAUUCUAUAGAAUCAAAGGCGAGCAAGCCUGAACUGAGUUUACUUCCAAAAUAUUAUCACAAAAUUAAUUUCUAAAGGAUACGGUUCCAAAGAAAUAUUUCUGAAAUGAUGAAAACAAUCCUCAAUGAAAAUAUCUGAGCUUCAGUAAGAAAUAAUGGGUAAAGGCAAUUAUAAAUUUAAAUAAAGAUGGGGUGAGGAGUAGGUUAAAACUGAAAUUGUAAAAUAAAGGGCAAAACUAAUACACUGGAAAUCAAUAGAACUCAAGUUGGGAAGGAAGUAAUUAAAGUUAAAAUUGUGUUUGAGAGGGAGGUGAAGAUGUUGAUUUUUUAUAGCAGGUAUACAUACUAUAAUUUAUAGGAAGACCACUAAGAAUAAAAACAGAGUACAUAUCUUCAAAACUAGUAAAGGAGGGAGUUAUUAUUGUGGCUCAUUGGGUUAUGAACCAGGCUAGUAUCCAUGAAAAUGUGGGUUUGAUCCCUGGCCUCACCUGGUGGGUUAAGGGUUCAGUGUUGGUGUGAGCUGUGGUGUAGGUCACAGAUGUGGUUUGGAUCUUGCAUUGGUGUGGUGUAGGCCAUCAGCUGCAGCUCCGAUUUGAUCCUUGCUCGGGAAAUUCCACAUGCUGCAGGUGCAGCCCUAAAAAGCAAA
RNAcentral lists this long non-coding RNA (5365 nucleotides) under Sus scrofa (pig). RNAcentral describes it as "lncRNA (ENSSSCG00000052308.1)". Lineage: Eukaryota; Metazoa; Chordata; Mammalia; Artiodactyla; Suidae. The record is from RNAcentral.